CCUCCUCUUCUUGGCGGGGGUCGGGUAUGCUGUCCUGGUCCUCGUAAUGUAACAAGGCAGAGGGAAAGGGCUCCGGCCCCCUCGGCCUUAUGUCUUCUGUGCCAAUGGUUUCUAGUCCACCGGUUCUAUCCUCAAACACCGGGACACUG
This is a small nucleolar RNA of Artibeus jamaicensis (Jamaican fruit-eating bat), 149 nucleotides long. RefSeq annotates it as small nucleolar RNA SNORA57. Lineage: Eukaryota; Metazoa; Chordata; Mammalia; Chiroptera; Phyllostomidae. The transcript has a single exon. The record is from RefSeq and is a predicted model, not a curated record.